UACGGAGGGGGCUAGCGUUGUUCGGAAUUACUGGGCGUAAAGGGCACGUAGGCUGGCUGUUAAGUCGGUGGUGAAAUGCUGAGGCUCAACCUCAGAAUUGCCUUCGAUACUGACGGUCUUGAGUGCGGGAGAGGUGAGUGGAAUUCCCAGUGUAGAGGUGAAAUUCGUAGAUAUUGGGAAGAACACCAGUGGCGAAGGCGGCGUUCUGGACUGCAACUGACACUGAGGAACGAAAGCCAGGGGAGCAAACGGG
This 253-nucleotide ribosomal RNA is filed under the name uncultured bacterium. RNAcentral's name for it is "partial 16S ribosomal RNA". It matches the Rfam family "Bacterial small subunit ribosomal RNA", at positions 524 to 776 of the family's 1533-position model. The record is from RNAcentral.